UUGACCUGGUCCUUGACUGGUGACUUUUGACCUUCCGGACUAAUUUUCAAGUUUACAAAUUCGGUUAUUGGAAGUGUCAUGUUUUGUACUAUCAAACCAAUAUGCAUGCUUCAGAUAACAUUUUGAAUCCGAAAAAAAAACCGAACGACCAGGAUCAACAAAUUGCAAUUGCUAAAAAUUACGCACUCCAUCUUUCAUGCCAAUUCGAGAUUCCAGCGGCGAGGCGCUUCAAUGGUCAGCUAAUAACUUCGCCAUUUUCCGAAAAUUGAUGAUUAGUAAGUUUUUCUUGUACUGACCAAAUCUGAGUUAAAAUACACUCGAAAUUUUAAAACGCUUCGUUAGUUAUCUCCCAUUAAAAAAAAAUAACCGACAAUCAACGUUUCGCUUAAAAAUUAAAGUAUGAUUGAUUUAAAAAAAAAAAAAUAUGUGUACUUUUCCCGAUCUUUUAUAUAGUAGCAUUUCAAGAACCCGGUUUCCACUUUGAACCGACAUGAAAGAUAUUUUUUCUCCAUUAUCUGAUUUUAUUGUUGACCUUUUUUCGGUGUUACUUAAAUAUUUAGCUAUAUAAUUAUUGAUUGCUUUCAGUUUUUAACCAUUUGUAUACGAUAAUAGUACAAAAUAAAUCAUUAUAAUCAAAUAUUUUCAUGGAAAUCAACAAAAC
Molecule: long non-coding RNA, 661 nt
Filed under: Neodiprion lecontei (redheaded pine sawfly)
Lineage: Eukaryota; Metazoa; Arthropoda; Insecta; Hymenoptera; Diprionidae
Description: uncharacterized LOC124294468
Source: RNAcentral